AUAUAUAUAUAUAUAUAUAUAUAAAAUACAAAAUUUGAAAUUUUGAUUUUUUAAAGUUUUAAAUUUUAAAUUUAAUAUUUUAUAUUUUAAAUUAUAAUAUUUAUUUCCAAAUUUUAAACUUUUCAAAAUUUAAAAUUUUAAAUCUCUAAAUUCUAAUAAUACGCGUAAUAAAUCGCGUAAUAAAAUCUAACCUAAUAAAUGCAAUUUAAAUUACAUAAAAUAUCGCUGUAUAAAAAAAUAUAGAAUUUAAAUUUCAGGACUAAAAUUUUAGAAAUAUAGUGCAUAUGUGUAUAUAUAUAAUUAAUUUUAUUAAAUAAUUUUUUUUACAAUUUUUUUUUUAUUAUUGGUUUUCUUAAAUUAUUUUGAUAGAUUUAUCUCAAAUUCUUUUCAUAUAAAUUUUAUAAAAUAAAUUAUUGUAUAAAUUUACUUUGCGCAUAAUUAUUUUUAUAUAAUUUUUUAUUUAAUUAAUAAUUAGACUUAUAAAACUAUAUAAAAAUAUUAAAAAAUAUAUAAUUUAUUAUAAAAAUAAUUUUAUAUCCGCAGCAUCGCGCGGGUAUUUCACUAGUUGAACAUGAUGAUUUAGACGGGAUUACAUUGGGCCUAACAGAGAUU
RNAcentral lists this long non-coding RNA (612 nucleotides) under Ananas comosus (pineapple). RNAcentral's name for it is "long non-coding RNA (ACOM_LNC000146)". Lineage: Eukaryota; Viridiplantae; Streptophyta; Magnoliopsida; Poales; Bromeliaceae. The record is from RNAcentral.